Molecule: ribosomal RNA, 468 nt
Filed under: uncultured bacterium
Lineage: Bacteria
Description: partial 16S ribosomal RNA
Rfam family: Bacterial small subunit ribosomal RNA (bases 63-468)
Source: RNAcentral
GGGGGGGGGGGGGGGGGGGGGGGGGGGGGGGGGGGGGGGGGGGGGGGGGGGGGGGGGGGGGGGUGGGGGGGGGGCGGGCGGGGGAGUAACGGGGGGGGGACGUGCGCGGGACUGGGGGAUAGCUUCCGGAAACUGGGGCUAAGACGGGAUCGGGGCGCCGGCUGCAGGGGGGGGGUUGGAAGGGUUCGGCGGUUGGGGCUGGUAUGGCGGCUGAUCCGCGUGUGGGUGGGGUAGUGGCUUACCAAGGCUUUGGCGGGUAGCCGGCCUGAGCGGGUGACCGGGCACGUUGGGACUGAGAUACGGCCCAGACUCCUACGGGAGGCAGCAGUGGGGAAUAUUGCACAAUGGGCGGAAGCCUGAUGCAGCAACGCCGCGUGCGGGAUGACGGCCUUCGGGUUGUAAACAGCUUUCGCCUGUGACGAAGCGUGAGUGACGGUAAUGGGUAAAGAAGCACCGGCUAACUACGUG